GACGAACGCUGGCGGCGUGCUUAACACAUGCAAGUCGAACGGAAAGGCCCUGCUUGCGUGGGGUGCUCGAGUGGCGAAGGGGUGAGUAACACGUGAGUAACCUGCCCUUGACUUGGGGAUAACUUCAGGAAACUGGGGCUAACACCGGAUAGGAGCUCCUGCUGCAUGGGGGGGGUCGGACAGCUUCGGCGGUUGGGGGUGGACGCGCGGCUAAUCAGCUUGUGGGUGGGGUAGUGGCUUACCAAGGCUUUGACGGGUAGCCGGCCUGGGAGGGUGACCGCCCACAUUGGGACUGAGAUACGGCCCAGACUCCUACGGGAGGCAGCAGUGGGGAAUAUUGCCCAAUGAGCGGAAGCCUGAUACAGCAGCGCCGCGUGCGGGAUGACGGCCUUCGGGUUGUAAACCGCAUUCGCCUGUGACGAAGCGUGAGUGACGGUAAUGGGUGAAGAAGCACCGGCUAACUACGUG
This 468-nucleotide ribosomal RNA is filed under the name uncultured bacterium. RNAcentral's name for it is "partial 16S ribosomal RNA". It matches the Rfam family "Bacterial small subunit ribosomal RNA", at positions 28 to 507 of the family's 1533-position model. The record is from RNAcentral.